This 1610-nucleotide long non-coding RNA is filed under the name Selaginella moellendorffii. Its description in RNAcentral is "long non-coding RNA (SMOE_LNC000318)". Lineage: Eukaryota; Viridiplantae; Streptophyta; Lycopodiopsida; Selaginellales; Selaginellaceae. The record is from RNAcentral.
UGAGUUUCCGCCCGAUGCUGUUCGUGCAAUCGGUGCUCCACGCUGAUCUGAGCUCGCCUUCUUCAUCCAGCGCUUCGAGGGCACUUCUCGGCGAGGAUGGGAGCUGGUCGAUAAGAGGCACGAUGGGCACACGCGGGUGGAGCGGCUGUUGUCUCGCCUGGGGCGCAAGGUUGCGGUUGGUCAAAGAGGUGUGGAGUGGGCACGAGAGCUUCACGUCUUUCUUAAACCUAUUUUUGCGUCACGAGAACAAUAUACCAAAGGUGGUAACGGGGUACCAAGAUCGAGAGAGUGUAAAGACUCUGCUCGCUCGUGAAUGCUUCGGCUUCCAUGGCGAUCAUGGAGCGUCAAGGCCAGCUCCAAGCACGCUUCUGCUUCCACUUAGAUCUCGACAGAGUGUCAAGACCCUGCUCGCUUGUUUCUCACCAGCUCCAAGCACGCUUCGGCUUCCAUGCAGACCUCGACAGAGUGUCAAGACCCCGUGUCGCCUGUUCCGCCAGCUCCAAGCACGCUUCAACUUCCAUGGCCAGCUGCAACACUUCCUCUAGAGCCCGCUUCAGCUUCCACACCCGUCCUUGAGCUAGCCCGUUUGAACUCCCUCAACCAUGCGACGCAAGACCCUGCUUUAUCACUUCUCAGCACACUCUCCUCCUAGCUUCUCGUGUUUGAGCACUUCAGCUUCUCGGCCAGCCGUCACAAGACAACAGCUUCUUCGGUCAGCCGCUACGCCAUAGCUGAAAUCCCAACUGCUCCAAAAAUUCAAAAAGCCGCCAUGUCACGGGUCAGUCGCAUCAAGUGUACAGCUCUCGUGAAUGCAGAACUACCAAGGAGCAACUUUACGCAAGAGUAAGCUAGACUUAUUUUGUCCUCGCUCACAAAGUACCGCACAGCAUGUUACCUGGCACCACCCAAUGAAAACGGCAAUCAAUUCAAUGGGAAGCCACAUGCCUCAACUUCUGGGAUUGUUAUUCCAUAUGUGUGGGCGAAAACCCCUUCCUCCACGAUGAAGACCCCAUCUCUGUAACGCAUAGCUGGAACUUUAAACCAAAGCUCCUCACUUUUUUCCGACCUGUGACAAGACAAGAAGCUUUGCAAGCUUUGCAAGAUCGACACAAGAGCAAGCAAGACGCCCAUGGGAAAGACAGUCAAGUGCACAAACCCACAAAGAACGAGAAGAGCUUGCGCCCCACAAAUCAACCCUCAUCCUCGGUCUCAAGAGCAAGCUCCAAUACUCAUUGGCACCACAACAAGACCAAGCAAGCCCGCGUGCCUCUCACAAACCUCGUCGCUGGAGCAUCGGGAGCCACAUCUGUCCUUUCUCCCCAUUCUCCACGAUGCAACUCCGCCUAUAAGGUUAUCUCCAUCGUGACAAAAGCCUCGACAACCCGAGGCAGCAAUUCGGCAUCGUUAUGACCAUGGACCAGCUCAAGAAGUUUUGCCGCAAGUACGGCAACCUUGGCAGUAUGGCAAGACAAAAGAAACAAAGAGAAGAGCAUUCUUCAAGGAUCUCAAGCAGUGAGAGAAGGCAGCAUGUGCCAAACUAACAAGUUCAAGUAGCUCAACCGUUGGACUUCACUUCAAUUCCUAUUGCGGAGUCAGCUGGCAACACCUUG